Oreochromis aureus is the source of this 1557-nucleotide long non-coding RNA. RefSeq lists it as uncharacterized. NCBI's taxonomy places the organism in Eukaryota, Metazoa, Chordata, Actinopteri, Cichliformes, Cichlidae. The transcript is spliced from 2 exons. The record is from RefSeq and is a predicted model, not a curated record.
GUGAUAUAGCUUUCUGUUCCCAUCAACUGAAACCACCAACAUUUCAGGUGUGCAUGCUGGGCAGCUGAAGCUGACAUCACAGCACAGCUGCUCUUCCUCAUCAAGAAAGCUGUGCUGCAGUGCAAUCAACUAUUACAUUUAGGCAAAGAUUACUUUUCAUCCCUAAAUGAUUGACGGUCAGAAACUCUGACCUUGUCUCUACAGACAGCAGAGAGCUGCUGCCUUUCUGUGGGUAGCAGUUCAUUUUUACCCAUCACCCCAGUUAAAUUUCACUGGGGUCUGUCUCAUUUAUAUGCCAGAACCAACACUUUGAAGCACUUUUCUUUGAUCACUUGUAGCUCAAUGGAGACACACAUUUAUGAUCAGGUCCCCCAGUUUCAGACACACUUGCACAAGCACACAGAUGACCAAUAUCUCACAGUGGUUUAACACAGUUCUGUCUGGGCUAAAGUACAGACAUCGAACGCUAUGACAGCGGAGUGUGCAGAUGAUCUCAUUACUGUCUAAAAAUGGAUAACAAAACCGAAGGAGUGCUGAAUCAUUGACAAAUACAGAGUAACAGAAUGACCUGCUUGUAUUUACCUUCAUUGAAGGAGUGGUCAGUGUGGGUAUAGCCAUGAGGCAAAAAAGACAGCUGAAGCUGAAGAGUGUGGUGAAAACAUGGUGCCGCUGCCGCCAGCAGGUUUCCAAGCAGGGAUUCGGGUAGCAGGAAGGCUUUGGUAAGCCCUCCAACAUCCAGUCCCAUUUUGUGAAUGCCAAUAAAAAAAUAGCUAGGUGUCCAUGUGUAAUUUGUGUGGAACAAUAUUGCACAAGAAGCUUAAUAGAUUUAGAAAAACGAUAACAAAAAAAAAAUAAAAAAUUGAAGAACAAAAGAUAAAUGUCCUUUUUUUUCCGAAAUUUACUCGCCCUGCUGAGUGGUGUACAGCGUUAAGAGGCCAGCAUUCGGACUCCAGAGUUUAACGACCCUAGUUCGAGUCUCUGAUAGUAGUCCGUCUGCUAGAGCAGGGUAGGCCCAGAGUGAAAGACGAAGCUCAAGCCUGCCUCCAUUUUUCUCUCUCUCUUUUUUUUUCAUUUCUUUUUACUUUUUUCAAGCCGCAAUUAAAAGCUCAGGGAAACACUUAGUUUUAAGGCGGCCUUUAAGGCACCCUAUAUAUCAGUCCAUACAGCGGUAAGGGCCAAUCUCAUGUAUCAGUUACACAUAUAUCAACGAAGGAAGAAAACAGGCCCAAACCAAAGAGGUGUGCAGGGAAAAAAUCAGGUGUGAGUGUGUGAAAUUUACUAAGUAUUGGAGUGCAAAAAUGCCUGGUCUCCAGCUCAUUUCCAAAAGGCUGGGUGCGUGAUGUGCGCGUUGUGGUCUUUAAAUAGAGGAAUUUUCCCGCUUUUGUUUGCCCGUCAUGUGGCCACAUGUGGCGGGCUAGCAGCUUAGUAACAUAGAGGCCCGGGUUCGAGCCCUACGCUCACCUCACCUACCCUACCUCUCUAUGUUCAUCUGCUAGGGGGAGGUCCAGGCAGGGGACCUUGGAGUGAAAAUUCCAAGGCCUGGACUUCCCCUGAUUU